UGGAGGAAAGUAGGGGAUCGAAAGACCUUGCGCUUAAGGAGCGGCCGAUGUCUGAUUAGCUAGUUGGUGGGGUAAAGGCCUACCAAGGCGACGAUCAGUAGUUGGUCUGAGAGGACGACCAACCACACUGGGACUGAGACACGGCCCAGACUCCUACGGGAGGCAGCAGUGGGGAAUUUUGGACAAUGGGCGCAAGCCUGAUCCAGCCAUGCCGCGUGAGUGAAGAAGGCCUUCGGGUUGUAAAGCUCUUUCAGUUGGGAAGAAACGAUUACAACUAAUAAUUGUAAUUAAUGACGGUACCGACAGAAGAAGCACCGGCUAACUACGUGCCAGCAGCCGCGGUAAUACGUAGGGUGCGAGCGUUAAUCGGAAUUACUGGGCGUAAAGGGUGCGCAGGCGGUUUUGUAAGUCAGAUGUGAAAUCCCCGGGCUUAACCUGGGAAUGGCGUUUGAA
RNAcentral lists this ribosomal RNA (453 nucleotides) under uncultured bacterium. Its description in RNAcentral is "bacterial SSU rRNA". It matches the Rfam family "Bacterial small subunit ribosomal RNA", at positions 197 to 631 of the family's 1533-position model. The record is from RNAcentral.